RNAcentral lists this ribosomal RNA (601 nucleotides) under uncultured Cortinarius. Its description in RNAcentral is "eukaryotic LSU rRNA". The stretch from base 191 to 344 matches the Rfam family "5.8S ribosomal RNA". Lineage: Eukaryota; Fungi; Basidiomycota; Agaricomycetes; Agaricales; Cortinariaceae. The record is from RNAcentral.
ACACUUGUCAUCUUUAUAUCUCCACCUGUGCACCUUUUGUAGAUCUGGAUAUCUUUCUGAAUGCCUGGCAUUCGGGUUUGAGGAUUGACUUCUGUCUUUUCCUUACAUUUCCAGGCCUAUGUUUUCUUCACAUACACCAUUUAUGUUAUAGAAUGUAAUGAAAGGGCCUUUGUGCCUACAAACCUUAUACAACUUUCAGCAACGGAUCUCUUGGCUCUCGCAUCGAUGAAGAACGCAGCGAAAUGCGAUAAGUAAUGUGAAUUGCAGAAUUCAGUGAAUCAUCGAAUCUUUGAACGCACCUUGCGCUCCUUGGUAUUCCGAGGAGCAUGCCUGUUUGAGUGUCAUUAAUAUAUCAACCUCCUCAAGUUUUGACUUGUCGAGUGUUUGGAUGUGGGGGUCUUUUGCUGGUCUCUUUUGAGGUCGGCUCCCCUAAAAUGCAUUAGCGGAACAAUUUGUUGACCCGUUCAUUGGUGUGAUAACUAUCUACGCUUUUGACGUGAAACAGGUUCAGCUUCUAACAGUCCAUUGACUUGGACAAUUUCUCAUUAAUGUGACCUCAAAUCAGGUAGGACUACCCGCUGAACUUAAGCAUAUCAAUAAG